RNAcentral lists this ribosomal RNA (497 nucleotides) under uncultured bacterium. RNAcentral's name for it is "partial 16S ribosomal RNA". It matches the Rfam family "Bacterial small subunit ribosomal RNA", at positions 28 to 507 of the family's 1533-position model. The record is from RNAcentral.
GAUGAACGCUGGCGGCGUGCCUAAUACAUGCAAGUCGAGCGAACGGACGAGAAGCUUGCUUUUCUGAUGUUAGCGGCGGACGGGUGAGUAACACGUGGAUAACCUACCUAUCAGACUGGGAUAACUUCGGGAAACCGGCGCUAAUACCGGAUAAUAUUUUGAACCGCAUGGUUCAAAAGUGAAAGACGGUGUUGCUGUCACUUAUAGAUGGAUCCGCGCUGCAUUAGCUAGUUGGUAAGGUAACGGCUUACCAAGGCGACGAUGCGUAGCCGACCUGAGAGGGUGGGCGGCCGCACUGGGACUGAGACACGCUACAGUCGCCCACGGGAGGGAGCAGGAGGGAAACGGCCGGCAGGGGCGGAAACUUGACGGAGCAACGCCGCGUGAGUGAUGAGGGUCUUCGGGUCGUAAAACUCGGUUAUUAGGGAAGAACAUAUUUUUACGUGACUCUGCACGUCUGGACGGGAACUAGUCAGAAAGCCACGGCUAACUACGGU